Molecule: long non-coding RNA, 1020 nt
Filed under: Homo sapiens (human)
Lineage: Eukaryota; Metazoa; Chordata; Mammalia; Primates; Hominidae
Description: non-protein coding lnc-FLVCR1-1:1
Source: RNAcentral
UUUCACUACAUCUUAAGAGAUUCAGAAAGUUCUUGUUAAUAAUAAGGCCCAGCAUGGAACUAGGGUGUACUUUGCAUUUGUAUAACCCAGGUGGAAGAGCAUAUGUAGGCUAAAGAAACAAACAAAAAACCGAUAAAAGAACAAUAGGGCCUAGCCAGGGUGAAGGUACCUUAAGGCAACAAGAGAGGGAGGAAGGGGCUUCCGAGAAGGAGGGAAGAAAAAAAACUUCAGAAAUAAGUGUUAGAGGGCUGUUGCAGUGGCUCACUAAUCCCAGCACUUUGGGAGGGUGAGGUGGACAGAUCACUUGAAGUCAGGAGUUCAAGACCAGCCUGGCCAACAUGGCGAAACCCCAUCUCUACAAAAAACACAAAAAUUUGCCGGGCAUGGUUGCAUGCGCCUGUAAUCCCAGCUAUUUGGGAGGCUGAAGUGGGAGGUUGAAUCUGUUUAGUAAAUUGGGGGCUUAGAAUAUUUCAUUUUUGGUUUACAGGGGCUUGAGUUCUCCUUGUGGCCUGUCUCCAUAUGGCAUUUCCUCUAGCUACAGUUUUCAGGAGCUAUUUGGUCUCUCAACUCUAAGCAUACAAAACCCUUAAGACUCCUCUGUAGUAGAUGCUCUGAACAAGCCAGGGCUGGGAAGGAGGUCUAUUUAUUUUUUGACUCAAUUCUUUCAUCAGAGUUUCAGUAAGUGAGUUACAAAUUAGUGAAUCAAGAGGAAACAUGUGAAGCAGUUGCACAGUUUUUUCAGAGUAAAUCUGGAAAUGAAGAUAUUAGUUGCUACAGGUGGGAGGGGUGAGCAGAGGCAGAUUUACCAUGAAGUUAAUAUGAGGGUCUCUGAAGGCUUGUAUCUCUCUCUCUCUCUUUUUUUUUUUUGACAAGGCCUCACUCUGUUGCCUAGGCUGGAGUGGCGUGAUCUCAGCCCAUUGCAGCCUUGACCUCCUGGGCUCAAGCGAUCUUCCCACCUCAGCCUCUCAGGUAGCUGGGACUACAGGCAUGCACCAGGCCCAGCUAAAUACUGUAUUUUUU